AGUACAGUGAUACCUCAGUUUACGAAUGCUUCCGCUUCCGAACUUUUCGCCUCACAAACAUUAAAUUCGCGAGCAUAUAGUCUCGGUGGACGAACUAGUUUUCGGCGGACGAACACACCACGCGAUCGAGCAGUGCCACGGUGGCGGCCACUAGAAGCUGACGCACGCUCAACUGCGUCCCAUUUCGUCACCCCCUUUCUUCGAGUGAGGACGUGAUUUGUUUGAGCGACAUUUUGGACCAUAUAGAGUGCACGUUUGCGAUUAUGGGACCGAAAAAGACCCCACCACAAGUUAGUGUUAAGCCGAAGAAGACGAAAAUUAUGAUCGAGCAGAAGAAGGACAUAAUCGAAAAACACGAACGAAGUGUGCGUUUGCGUGACUUAGCAUCACAUACAGUGUGGUGCCUCAUUGUCG
Hippocampus comes (tiger tail seahorse) is the source of this 414-nucleotide long non-coding RNA. RefSeq lists it as uncharacterized. The record is from RefSeq and is a predicted model, not a curated record. The transcript has 4 exons. NCBI's taxonomy places the organism in Eukaryota, Metazoa, Chordata, Actinopteri, Syngnathiformes, Syngnathidae.